ACAAAGUCCAAGUUGAUUUUUGAGAAAACGAGUAAAAUUGACAGAAUCCUGGUAGACUGAUCAAGGAAAAAGAUAAAGAGCAUUAAUAAACAUUAGAAACGAAAGGGGCCAUGUUAUAGAUGUUAAGACAUAGACAUAAAAGGUAGAUCACACUAUGAGCAGUUACAUGCCAAUUAAAUUGAAAACUUAGGUGAAAUGGAAAAAUUCCUAGAAAAGUGUAACUUAACAAAACUUCCUCAAGAAGAUAUUGAUGACAACAGCAACAAAACCCUGACUCUCAGCAAAGUAGGUGUAGAGAGAACAUACCUUGGCAUAAUAAAGACCAUAUGUGACAAACCCACAGCUAACAUACUCAGUGGUGAAAAAAAAGGAGAGCUUUUCCUCUAAGAUCGGGAACAAGACAAGGACAGCCACUCUUACCACUUUUAUUCAACAUAGUACUGGAAGCCUUAGCCUUAGCAAUCAGACAAGAAAAACAAGUAAAAGGCACCCAAGUUGGUAAGGA
Molecule: long non-coding RNA, 505 nt
Organism: Herpailurus yagouaroundi (jaguarundi)
Lineage: Eukaryota; Metazoa; Chordata; Mammalia; Carnivora; Felidae
Exons: 2
Source: RefSeq, a predicted model, not a curated record